GAUGAACGCUGGCGGCGUGCUUAACACAGGCAAGUCGAACGGAAAGGCCAGUGCUUGCACUGGUGCUCGAGUGGCGAACGGGUGAGUAACACGUGGGUGAUCUGCCCUGCACUUUGGGAUAAGCCUGGGAAACUGGGUCUAAUACCAGAUAGGACCAUGCUUUGGAUGGUGUGGUGGAAAGUUUUUUCGGUGUGGGAUGAGCUUGCGGCCUAUCAGCUUGUUGGUGGGGUAAUGGCCUACCAAGGCGUCGACGGGUAGCCGGCCUGAGAGGGUGUACGGCCACAUUGGGACUGAGAUACGGCCCAGACUCCUACGGGAGGCAGCAGUGGGGAAUAUUGCACAAUGGGCGCAAGCCUGAUGCAGCGACGCCGCGUGGGGGAUGACGGCCUUCGGGUUGUAAACUCCUUUCGCAACUGACGAAGCUUUUUGUGACGGUAGGUUGAGAAGAAGCACCGGCUAACUACGUG
This 467-nucleotide ribosomal RNA is filed under the name uncultured bacterium. Its description in RNAcentral is "partial 16S ribosomal RNA". It matches the Rfam family "Bacterial small subunit ribosomal RNA", at positions 28 to 507 of the family's 1533-position model. The record is from RNAcentral.